GCCCGGAUGGUGGAAUGGCAGACACAGCAGACUUAAAAUCUGCUUCUUUCGGGAGUACGGGUUCGAGUCCCGUUCCGGGUACCA
This 84-nucleotide transfer RNA is filed under the name Lentisphaerota bacterium. RNAcentral's name for it is "Lentisphaerae bacterium tRNA-Leu". It matches the Rfam family "tRNA". Rfam says of the family: Transfer RNA (tRNA) molecules are approximately 80 nucleotides in length. Their secondary structure includes four short double-helical elements and three loops (D, anti-codon, and T loops). RNAcentral also lists the same sequence under 1 other name. Lineage: Bacteria; Pseudomonadati; Lentisphaerota. The record is from RNAcentral.